UCCGUAGGUGGAUAAUUAAGUCAGAGGUGAAAUCCUGCAGCUCAACUGUAGAAUUGCCUUUGAUACUGGUUAUCUUGAGUUAUUAUGAAGUAGUUAGAAUAUGUAGUGUAGCGGUGAAAUGCAUAGAUAUUACAUAGAAUACCAAUUGCGAAGGCAGAUUACUAAUAAUCAACUGACACUGCUGGACGAAAGCGUGGGGAGCGAACAGGAUUAGAUACCCUGGUAGUCC
RNAcentral lists this ribosomal RNA (229 nucleotides) under uncultured bacterium. Its description in RNAcentral is "partial 16S ribosomal RNA". It matches the Rfam family "Bacterial small subunit ribosomal RNA", at positions 568 to 796 of the family's 1533-position model. The record is from RNAcentral.